RNAcentral lists this ribosomal RNA (254 nucleotides) under uncultured bacterium. RNAcentral's name for it is "partial 16S ribosomal RNA". It matches the Rfam family "Bacterial small subunit ribosomal RNA", at positions 524 to 776 of the family's 1533-position model. The record is from RNAcentral.
UACGUAGGGUGCAAGCGUUAAUCGGAAUUACUGGGCGUAAAGCGUGCGCAGGCGGUUUUGUAAGUUUGUCGUGAAAGCCCCGGGCUCAACCUGGGAAUUGCGAUGAAGACUGCAAGGCUAGAAUCUGGCAGAGGGGGGUAGAAUUCCACGUGUAGCAGUGAAAUGCGUAGAGAUGUGGAGGAACACCGAUGGCGAAGGCAGCCCCCUGGGUCAAGAUUGACGCUCAUGCACGAAAGGCGUGGGGAGCAAACAGG